Molecule: ribosomal RNA, 236 nt
Filed under: Klebsiella pneumoniae subsp. pneumoniae KPNIH14
Lineage: Bacteria; Pseudomonadati; Pseudomonadota; Gammaproteobacteria; Enterobacterales; Enterobacteriaceae
Description: partial 23S ribosomal RNA
Rfam family: Bacterial large subunit ribosomal RNA
Source: RNAcentral
GUGGACGCAUCACUGGUGUUCGGGUUGUCAUGCCAAUGGCACUGCCCGGUAGCUAAAUGCGGAAGAGAUAAGUGCUGAAAGCAUCUAAGCACGAAACUUGCCCCGAGAUGAGUUCUCCCUGAGACUAUAAGUCUCCUGAAGGAACGUUAAAGACGAUGACGUUGAUAGGCCGGGUGUGUAAGCGCAGCGAUGCGUUGAGCUAACCGGUACUAAUGAACCGUGAGGCUUAACCUUAC